AAGGUUAACUUGCCACAUAUGAUAUAAAUGUAUAUUCAGAACAUUUCAUUCUCUGAGACAGUGAUAGUUGAAUUUCAAAAUCAUGUAUCUAAUUCAGUAGUUUCAUCACCACAUAGUGGGAACAUUUUGCCUUCUGAUUGAUCUGCUACUAACAAUUUGAGAACAUGACUUUAAAUAGAACUAUGAAGAAACCUGGAAAUGUUAUGCUGAAGUAGCAAAAUUCCCAAAGACAAACAAUGCUCUUUGUCACAACUUAGUCGGCUCCUCUCUGACGAAGAGGAGUAGUAUGAAGGAUCGGAGGACCAAA
Oncorhynchus masou masou (cherry salmon) is the source of this 307-nucleotide long non-coding RNA. RefSeq lists it as uncharacterized. NCBI's taxonomy places the organism in Eukaryota, Metazoa, Chordata, Actinopteri, Salmoniformes, Salmonidae. The record is from RefSeq and is a predicted model, not a curated record. The transcript has 3 exons.